AUCAGCUGCUCAAAGUGAAUUCAA
This 24-nucleotide non-coding RNA is filed under the name Gossypium hirsutum (cotton). Lineage: Eukaryota; Viridiplantae; Streptophyta; Magnoliopsida; Malvales; Malvaceae. The record is from RNAcentral.